GACACUGUUCAACGGCCGCGGUAUCCUAACCGUGCGAAGGUAGCGUAAUCACUUGUUCUUUAAAUAAGGACUAGUAUGAAAGGCACCACGAGAGUCAUGCUGUCUCCUUUCUCUAAUCAGUGAAACUAAUCUCCCCGUGAAGAAGCGGGAAUAAAAAUAUAAGACGAGAAGACCCUAUGGAGCUUAAAACAAAUAACACUUGCCCCCCAACUUCUAAUUUCAGAAAAAUUUUCUACCCAGGCAUCAUGAUUAUUAGUUUUCGGUUGGGGUGACCGCGGAGUAAAAAACAACCUCCGCAAUGAAAGACACUCAUCUACUUAAUCAAGGGCCACAACCCCACACAUCAACAAAUUGACACUAAUUGACCCAACAUGUUGAUCAAUGAACCAAGUUACCCUAGGGAUAACAGCGCAAUCCACUUCAAGAGCUCCUAUCGACAAGUGGGUUUACGACCUCGAUGUUGGAUCAGGGUGUCCUAGUGGUGCAGCCGCUACUAAAGGUUCGUUUGUUCAACGAUUAAAACCCUACGUGAUCUGAGUUCAGAC
RNAcentral lists this ribosomal RNA (545 nucleotides) under Adenomera marmorata. RNAcentral's name for it is "partial large subunit ribosomal RNA". It matches the Rfam family "Bacterial large subunit ribosomal RNA", at positions 1916 to 2616 of the family's 2925-position model. The record is from RNAcentral. Lineage: Eukaryota; Metazoa; Chordata; Amphibia; Anura; Leptodactylidae.